CCUACGGGUGGCAGCAGUGAGGAAUAUUGGUCAAUGGACGAGAGUCUGAACCAGCCAAGUAGCGUGAAGGAUGACGGCCCUAUGGGUUGUAAACUUCUUUUAUAUGGGAAUAAAAUGUUCCACGUGUGGGAUUUUGUAUGUACCAUAUGAAUAAGGAUCGGCUAACUCCGUGCCAGCAGCCGCGGUAAUACGGAGGAUCCGAGCGUUAUCCGGAUUUAUUGGGUUUAAAGGGAGCGUAGGUGGAUUGUUAAGUCAGUUGUGAAAGUUUGCGGCUCAACCGUAAAAUUGCAGUUGAAACUGGCAGUCUUGAGUGCAGUAGAGGUGGGCGGAAUUCGUGGUGUAGCGGUGAAAUGCUUAGAUAUCACGAAGAACUCCGAUUGCGAAGGCAGUUCACUGGACUGCAACUGACACUGAGGCUCGAAAGUGUGGGUAUCAAACAGGAUUAGAUACCCGAGUAGUC
Molecule: ribosomal RNA, 460 nt
Filed under: uncultured bacterium
Lineage: Bacteria
Description: partial 16S ribosomal RNA
Rfam family: Bacterial small subunit ribosomal RNA
Source: RNAcentral